GGGGAUAUAGUUUAAUAAUAACAUUUAAUUUGCAAUUAAAAAGUACUUUUACAGUUUUCCUCA
Molecule: transfer RNA, 63 nt
Filed under: Idiostolus sp.
Lineage: Eukaryota; Metazoa; Arthropoda; Insecta; Hemiptera; Idiostolidae
Description: tRNA-Ala
Rfam family: tRNA
About the family: Transfer RNA (tRNA) molecules are approximately 80 nucleotides in length. Their secondary structure includes four short double-helical elements and three loops (D, anti-codon, and T loops).
Source: RNAcentral